RNAcentral lists this ribosomal RNA (297 nucleotides) under uncultured bacterium. RNAcentral describes it as "partial 16S ribosomal RNA". It matches the Rfam family "Bacterial small subunit ribosomal RNA", at positions 333 to 626 of the family's 1533-position model. The record is from RNAcentral.
UUUAACCUACGGGGGGCAGCAGUGAGGAAUAUUGGUCAAUGGGCGGAAGCCUGAACCAGCCAAGUCGCGUGAGGGAAUAAGGCCCUACGGGUCGUAAACCUCUUUUGCCGGGGAGCAAGGGCGGGGACGUGUCCCGGCCCGGAGAGUACCCGGAGAAAAAGCAUCGGCUAACUCCGUGCCAGCAGCCGCGGUAAUACGUAGGUGGCAAGCGUUGUCCGGAUUUAUUGGGCGUAAAGCGAGUGCAGGCGGGUCAAUAAGACUGAUGUGAAAGCCUUCGGCUCAACCGGAGAAUUGCAU